This is a long non-coding RNA of Homo sapiens (human), 7517 nucleotides long. The record is from Ensembl. NCBI's taxonomy places the organism in Eukaryota, Metazoa, Chordata, Mammalia, Primates, Hominidae.
AACAGAGCAAGACUCUGUCUCAAAAAAAAAAGAAAAAUCAGAAGGAGAGUCUGAGGAAAGACACAUAGCACCUUCCCUGGUAAUGAGUUCUGUGAAAUUCUGUGCUUUUAAAGCUCACUGUCACAUCUUUCAUUUAUGAAAUCUCUGUAAGAAUCCAGGAUCCAAGUCAUUUGUUUUAGAAAUUCAUUAAUUGGCCUUUCAGAGCCAAGACAACAAGUAUGGCCAAAGAAUCAUUUCUGAUGAGAUCAGUAAUAGCAAAUCUGAAGCAAUCUCAUUUUAGAAAAUAUCUAAAUGGGUCUCACUCAUCAAUGUGUUUCAGAUUCUUUCACGGCUUCAAAUAUAAUGGACAGAGCUGGGUUUCUUUGAGAUAGCAUUUCAGUGAAACACUUUUUAAUUCAUUUUACACAGCUCUUAUUAGAUUUGUAAGAGGAUACACACUGAAUAAGCACUCCAUGGUCACUUGAGAGGAGAGUAGUUACGUGACUCAUUUAACAGGCAAUUACCUGUUUAAAAAGAGACAAAUAUCCUGUGUCUGACAGAGGCUAUGACUGCAUGACAUGAACCAAAUGUUUGAGACUAUUGAAAAAUCCUACAAUGAAGGGGAUUCUGGGCUCCUAUACAGAAUUCACUGACCUUCAACUAGUAAAAAAUAGAUGCUUGAUGGAACUGUUACGAAUCUCGCCAUCUUAAUCAUGGUAAUGGUUACACAGAGCUACACGUGUGAUAAAAACGCAUAAAAAUACACACACACAUACGAGAAUGCACAUAAAACUAGUAAAAUCUGAAUAAGGUUGGUGAAUUGUGUCAAUGUCAGUGUUCUGGUUGUGAUAUUAUACUGCAAUGUUAAAAGAGUUUACCAUUAGGGGAAAGUGGGUGAGGAGUAUACAGUCUCUCUAUAUAUUAUAUCUUACACUGCAUGUGAAUCUACAAUUAUCUCAAGAUAAAAAUUCACAAAACCUAGCAGUUUUUGACUGCAUCUAUUGAUGCGGUAUCACCCACUCUACCAGAUGGCUUACUGUCAUCAUCCCACUUAUAUGUACUGUGAGAUAAGGGUGUGGCUCUUACUUCUGGGCAGGUGGGCUUCACAUGGAAGAGCAGCUUCUAAAAGACUCGUGUGUUUCAGAAUAGUAUUGCUGAUGCUGGAAUUUAGGUUAAGAUGUAAUUCUUUUUUCUCCCUAUUCUCAUGCAUGCUUUGGAAUUUGACAUCAAGAGAGUUGGCAUGGCACCCUGCCUUUGUUUCCUAUACUAUAUAUGCUGAUGGUUUUGUUUAGCUCUGGAUCAGUUUGAUAGAGAUAUUAGAGAUGGUCACCUGACAGACAGGUUAUUGGAUUCUUCUGAGAGUAUAUUUGUGAAUUGCAUUAAUGGUUUCUUUCUGUGCCCUUUGCCAUGUAACUUUGUAGACAUCCAUCUACAAAUAGGGCUUUGUUUCUACCCCUUGACUCUGGGCUUGGCCUCGUGCUUGUUUGGGGUAAUGUUAGCAGACAUGAGCAAGCAGAGACUUGAAAAUCAUUUGUGCGGUUGAGCUUUCCCUUUUGGACUUAGAACAUCGCCAGGACAAGAAUGUGCCUGGAGUAGCCUAUCCUUUAGCAGGAGGACGAUGAAAGAAAGGUGGAGCAGAGCUGCCCAAUUAAACUGCACCAGCAAAAGUUCAGCCUGAAGCAGAGUCCCUGGUUGACCCACAGACUUAUAAUAAGCCCAGUCCAAAGUAGCUGCCCCACGGACACAUGAAUUCUAAUUGUUGAUUGUUGUUUGAAACCAUAGGGUUUUGAGGUGAUUUUAUAUGCAGGAGUAGUUGGUAAUCAUUAUAAUUGUGAAGGAUGGCCUUUUGGAUUUCAGAUAGGCGACGGGGAUCUGAAAGAUCGAAAUAGAAGGGCAGUGUGUGUGGUGGGGGACAUCUGUUAAUUCUCCACACUUGUAGGAACUAGAAUACCAAACGGCAACCGAGUUACAGAAAAUGGACAGCUACCCAUUAUUACAGUGUAGGAGAUAAGGUCUCCUUAGGUCAUGAAGUUAAACUGAUGCUCAGAUACCUGAGCUUUUUAAUUAAGUUCAUUUGAACAAAGACCAAGUGGGGUUGAACCAGCAACAACGAAUUAAGUGGCCUAAACUAUUAGGUCUAUGGAGAAAGAAAUCAAGCAGUAUGUUGAGGUUAGAUCUAGAUCAGGAGGUAGAAUUUUUUUUGUGAAGGUCCAGAUAGCAAAUAUUUUACACUUUGUGGGCUCUACACUCUCUAUCACAACUUUUCAACAUUCAACAUUGCUAACAUGCAAAUAAAUGUGAUUGACUACAUUCAAUAAAAUUUUAUUUACAAAAACAUAGAGUGUCUGGAAUUGGCCCACAGGUUAUAGUUUGCUCACUUCUCAUCUAGAUUCUUGUAAUAAUAUUGUAUUAUUGAAUAAAACAUUUAAAACUAAAUAUUUGUGAGAAAUUUAAGGUAAAAAUGGUAAAUAUGUGGCAUGUAUACUCAAAGUUCUCCCUUUGAGCCAACAAUAGACAUCACAGUCUUUCCUGGAAUUAUUUCUCCCAGAUUGGAAAUGUCCUCUGAAUUCUUCAUGUCUCAGCAAUCCAGACAGUCUUUACCAAUUUGUCAUAGCUUGUAAGCUACAUAAAGGAAAAUAAUAAUAACCACAACUCAAAGGCUUCUCUUUUAUCAGCCAUAGAAAAAUGUUACAACUUUACAAAGUGACUGUGAAUUUAAGUUAAACCCUCUGACAACAAAUUGGAGGUAAGUGUAAUAGAAUAAUAAUAAAAACAUUGAAAUUAUAAGAAUUUCUUAAUGUUAUUUUAUGUCAAAGCAUUUGCUUUUGAUGUAUACAUAUUUGCUUUUGAUAUAUACAUAUUUGCUUUUGAAGCUGUGAAACUUGGAUUGAAGAUACAGUAGGGAACAUGAAGACCCAUACUAGGGAUCAUCUGGUUAAGGUGGAGAGUAGAGUUGUAAAAAAGUAGGGACAUUGGAGGUGGAGUGAGGAAAGAGUUGUUUGUAAAAUUAGAUAGGUUCCUUGGUGUGAUGCUCCAUGAAUGUAGCUACACCAUGUGUCUGUGGACAGUGAGAUAUGAUGAUGAGACAGAUUGGAUAAGAAUUUUGGUAACUAAUUCCCUAAACUCAGUGGAGGUGAAUGUAGUCUUUGCCACAGAGCUGUGAUGGCUGCAGAUGGAAGAAGGUUUGAAGAAAAACAGUGAACACUGCAAGCUAUUUUGAGGAAAUCUGUCAAAAUUGAAAAGUAUUUUCUCCUCAGUGGUCCAACAUAAGUCCAAUAUGGAUUAUUGAUCAUGGUUUUGGUAAUUUCACUUGAACUGAGCCUAAAUAAUCAGGCACGUGCUGUGCUGAGUACUGCCAAGGUUGUUUAAUUGCAAAAUCAAUUCCAAGGCACUGUACCUCCUAGCCAAAGCCUCUUUGCUAAUCAGGCCUGAAUGCAUUGGAUGGGGGUAGCCAAUAAGAUGCAACACUGGCCUUCUGUUAUAACAAUGGGAUUUCCUUUUUACAGUUCUUUAUGGGGCCCUCAUCCCUUGGUAAUGGCUUGUGAACAGUUUGAACUCCUCAGGCAAUUCUUGAAUAAUCUUUUCCCCCACACAGCCAUAAAGAAGGCCAGCCUGGAAACUUGUAUCACAUGAUUUGAUCAGUCUGCUGAGAGGGCUGGAGAGUUCUCUUGAUAUGACACUUGUGAAGUGGUAAUAAAGCUGGGUCGGAUCCACAGUGGCAGGUGGCUCAGGCAUCAGCAAUGCAGUCAUUUAAUGAGAUAAACUUGAAAACACCAAGCAAAAGUUUGGAGGACUGAAUGUUUAGUGAGAGAGUUCAAUGAGUAGAGUUAUUCUUUGGAGAGGGUCCCCCCAAAGCCUUGGAAGAAGUAAAAAUUGUAGGGCUAUGACUUUGGAGUGAGCCCAUAAAACUUUCUAAUUCUUGCCAAAACAGAAAGGAUUUUAAAAUGUCAAGUUGGAUGUGAUUCCUCUUGAAGCAGGACUUACAGUUGCCCUGGAGUCACAGGGGGUUGGGCUGAGGACAACUUUGACUUAAUUUGCAUUUUCCCAGCCUUAGUCCGUUUUCACACUGCUGUAAAGAUACCACCUGAGAUUGGGUAAUUUACAAAAACAGAAGACAUUUAAUUUACUCACAGUUCUGCAUGGCUAGAGAGGCCUCAGGAAACCUACAAUCAUGGCAGAAGGUGAAGGGGAAGAAAGGCAUGUCUUACCUGGUGGCACAAGAGAGAGAGAUGUGGGCAAAACUGCCAUUUUUAAACCAUCAGAUCUCAUGAGAACUCCCUCAGUAUCACGAGAACAGCAUGGUGGAAACCACCCUAAUCGCCUCUCUCCCACCAGGUUCCUCCCUCGACACAUGGGGAUUACAAUUUGAGAUGAGACUUGAGUGGGAACACAGACUCAAACCAUGUCACCAACCUAUGCCCUACUGAAAGACGGGUAUUCUGAGAUCAAGUGACACUAAUCAUCCUGAGCUGAGAUUUCCCAGUAUUCCUCUCUACCUCCACUCUUCCUUUGACACCUCUCUGACCACUCCUCAACCGCCAACCCCCAUGCACAUCUUCGAUCAUGAGAAAAAAAAAGAAGACGGGACCUCUCCUCUUUAUCUUGUUUUUGUGUUCCAGACUCAGAGUCUCUUGUCCAAAAUGGUUGGUCAGACAACUUAUGAGUGAAGCUGAAUCUAACAGUGUCAAGUGUCUAUAAAUUGUUACGCUCUCAGCAGAUCACAAGGUCAAGAGAUCGAGACCAACCUCACCAACAUGGUGAAACUCUGUCUCUACUAAAAAUACAAAAAUUAGCUGAGCAUGUUGAUGUGUACCUGUAGUCCCAGCUACUCAGGAGGCUGAAGCAGGAGAAUCUCUUGAACCCAGGAGGCAGAUGUUGCAGUGAGCUGAGAUCACACCACUGUGCUCCAGCCUGGGCGACAGAGUGAGACUCCGUCUCAAAAAAAAAAAAUUGUUACGCUCUCUUGUCCACUAAAUCUCAGGUAGAAAAUAUCUGUCAAAAGUAUAGAUACCCUCAGUAUGUCAAAACAUGAAGUUUCUAGACACAAACUCCAUUGACCCAAUUCCUAAAAUUCUUCCAAAAUUCUUCUCUUCACUCUGAAUCCCCUGAGGGGGAUAAAGAUGAGAGGGGUGUUCAAGACUAUGGGGCCAAGAGGUAGGGAAGGGAUAAAAAAUGUUGUAAGACCUUGAAUGUGUGAGGCUUCUGAAGGAGUCUUUGCAAGACAAGAGUUGGUUUUUAUUUGCCAUAAAGGAUUUCAGUAAUGCUGCUCCUCAUGUGACUCAUGCACUUGUAGACUGGCCAGCUAACAACACAUUUGUUUACAGAAAAGUGAUGAAAUAUGGAAAGUAUCACUGCUAAUUGUAUUUCUAUUGUACCCCUUUCAUUUUCUUUCCGGACUAGAAGCUCUGGAGCUUUCUUCAUUCUUUUAUUAAGAACAAAAUGACCAGCAGGAGAACAAUGUGAAAUUCACUGAGACCUGAAUGAAAUGCAAGAAAAUAUUAUUAUGAAAUGGUCUACCUAAUUAAUAAUGUUGGUAAAUUGAACUUCAGUGUCUGGUUGACAGCUGACUUAAUAUAACCUAAAUAGGAAGACAAUAAAACUCAUCUAGGGAAACUCAUUUUAAAGUUUAUUAAUGUUGUUUUCCUCAGUCUGUACGCCUGCUGGCAAAUCAUUUUAUUUUCAGUGAUAGAGUCCUGCAGAACCCCAUUAUAGGCUGUAUGACCUACAUUAUGGUCCUUCUGUGUUAGAGUGGGAGUGACAGACAGUCCAUCCCCAUCUGGAAAUAUCAUUUAAUGCAUGCUAUGACUGAUUAGAUGGAACAACCUCUUUCUACAUAAUGAAGUUUACUACAGAGAAAUUUACAGGAAAAAUAUUCAGUAAACACUAAAAUACCAAAUAUUUGCAUCUCUAUCAAUGAUCAUCUGGUCUCUCUCCCUAAAAUCCUAUAACUGUACAUUUUAACAUAGCUGUAAACACAGUGUGUGCACGCGGUUUUGUGUUUUUACUUUCUUCACCUAACAUAUCGCAUGCAUAUUUCCAUAAUGGAAUACACAAUACAGUUUUAAAGCCCACAGACGGUUUAACAUAUUGAUGUAUUUAGUGAAUAUUUUAAUACCACUUUUCUGUGCUGAAGCUAAUAUCCUAACAUCUGCCAAUUGGAAGUAAUUUUUAACUGAAUUAAACAUGUAUGUACUUGUUUCCCAGGACACACAAGCCUAAAAGAUGAACGAUACGGUGUUUAUACUUCUCCCUAGGAAGAGCCAUAGGCCUUGGGCCCCAUCAAGGGUCUCUCCUGGAGUUUCAGUCAAGAAGUCAGCUUGACUGGCUCUGGAAUAUUGGCUUCCACACUGGCUCCUUGCAUGGCUGGCAGGCUGAUGCUGGCUACUGAUGGCAGGCCUCAGUUUCUCUCUACACAACCCAUGGCUGCUUGGAUGUCUUCCCAUGCAACUGGCUUCCUCCAGAGCAGGUGUGAUGAAAGAGCACCUGGUUCCCUUAGAAUCACAGAAGUAAAGAAGUAGUUGGGAUUCAUCAGAGCAUGCUGUGCCAGCUUCUCAGAUGAGUGUAUCCUUGAAUACCCAGUAUCCAGAGCUUCUCUCUGCAUCCCUUUGACUUUUACCAGUAAGGCUCUUUUCCCUUUACUCAGAAUGAGCAUGCCAACCUUUUUCCAUUUUUUUUCCAAGUCUUGCUAGUAACCUUUUGUGGAACCCACCAGCUAACUCUUCUGAGAAGAGAGAAACUAGAGCUGUCUAUUGCAACUCUCUCAUCUUUCUACUCUGGUCUACAAAGGCUUCUGCAAUCCUACUCAACAUUUCUUUUCUCGGUACAUUUUCUCAGUGGAAAACAUUUCUGCCUUCAAUCCAAGACUAAAUUCUCUGCCUGUGUCCCUGGGCUUCUGUGAUGAGUAUUCUCUCUCCCUAGAACUCCCUUUUCUCACUGCCCUUGUAAUGGAACUCAGCUCCAGUCUUGCCUCCUCUAAGUAGGGUGUCUUCUCUUUUUCUGGGCACCAUUACACACUCAGGAACCUCAAAGGAAUGCAAACCCAUGGCAGCGAUUUCAUCUCCCCUAGCAUGUUAGGUUGGUGUCCUCAUUAGAACUAUUAUGCCCUCAAAUGAGGAAGCUUAUCUUAUUUGACAGAUGGAUAUUUGUCUGAAAUUUUCCAUAUUUGUUUUAAUACUUAUUAAAAGUGUGAUAAAUCUUUAUUGAGGAAAGUUCAGAAAACAGAAACCUAUAAGAACAUACAAAUAAUUACUGAUGUCCCACUUCAGAAAUGGUUACUCUUCAGUUGUGUAAAUUUCCCUCUAGUCAUUUUCUUUACCAAAUUUAUAGAAAUAACAUUCCAUUUUACAUUUGUAAAAUGUUUAUAAUUUAUAUCUUUCUUUCCGGCUCAACAUUAUAUUAUAAGCAGUAGUUCACAGCAUUAAAAGGCCUUCAAAUAUAUAAUAUUUAUUCCUAUAACUUAUUUAACCUUUCCAGAAAUGUUUUUUGUUGCUGUUGCAAAUUUCUACAUAUAUAUAAAGUUAUGGUAAAAAAAUUUUUAU